GCCGCGAACGGGGCAGGGAGGGAACGGGGCGGGGGGGGAGGAGAGCUGGGCCGCUGGGAAGGACCGGGGCCGGGCAGCGCCGCCGCCCCUCGGCUCGGCACGGCUCGGCAGGCACUCACCACGCAUUUCUUGCCGAGGAAGCUGAAGAGGCUCUCGUUCUCCUGCGGGUGAUGCCAGUUCAUAACAAGUAUGUUGGAAGUGACAUACUAAUAUCAAUAUAAACAAGUGUCAUGAUUUUACAGGUUUGUAAUAUAGAUGUAUUUAGUAAACAGAUUUUAUGAUCCUUGGCAGACUUAUCUUUUACAAAAAUUUUGUCACUCUGAAGUUUAUCUUUAAAUGUAGACUUUUACAAUUCUCAUUAAUUUUUUGCAAGCUGAAAAUUGAAUUCCAUAACUAGUCUAAAAUACACACUUUGAGUUUCAGAGCUUAAAUAUUAACCCAAUUUCAGGAAGAAUGUUCUGCAAUUGAAAAUGAAGUAAAAAAGGUAAGGAAGAGUUUCUGUUUCUUUCCCUAGAGCCACAAAUUGCAGUGUAUUUCAGAGUUGUUUUUUUUUUAAUUUCUGAAUUGUCUGAAUGCAGUCAGUUCUCCGAGGAUUUAUGUAUGGUUUGUUUGUUUGUUUGUUUGUUUUUGCAGCACUGUGUUUCUCAAAUCUUUAUUUUUUUCCUCAGGUCAUACAGUGUGGUACUCUUAUUCUCCAAAAGAUGAAGCGACAGUUUGAUUACACGUGAAGAACUUGAAGAUUAAAGGGAAAUGAAAUUUAAAAAUGAAAAAUAAAUCCUAACUAACUUCUAUCUUCAAUCUCAUAUUCAGUGGCAAGUGAAACAGUAUGAAACAGGCACAAACAUCACUGCAACAACCACAUAAACAUGGCUGGGGGAGAUCACAAUUGUGAAUGUAUAAUUAGUGUCACCACACUCAGGGAGCGUGUCAACAGGGUGGCAGAAGAACAGACCAAAAAAAAAAGGAAAGGCUCCUUUCCCUCAGCACGCUUUCUGGAUGGGCCUGUAGAAAUCACUAAUCCAUUUACUGCGAAACCACUUGUGGUCACCAAAAAAAGAGAAGUCGCAUUGUGGUUGAAAAUGGUGUUUGAACUGUGAAGAUACAAGUUCUCUUUUUCAAUAAGCCACAUUAUUUUUUUCUACGUACACCUCCCUUAAGAGAAUUGGGCUUAAAUUGUUACUGAAUCAGUGACAAAUAGCAUAUUAGCUAUUUUACUCAGAAGAUGUUCCUUCACUUCUACUGUCUAUAUACUGAACCAAGAAGCAUUCAGGAAUCCUAGCCUGCUCUGAAGGGAACUGGAUCAUCAGGUUACAGGUCGUUUCAGGUCCAGUCACUGUGUAUCAUUUUUCUCUGAGAUUUUAUAUCAUUUGUUUCAGGUGGGUAACAGCCUGGAAUAAAGAGGAUCUGAAUUCUA
This is a long non-coding RNA of Tympanuchus pallidicinctus (lesser prairie-chicken), 1414 nucleotides long. RefSeq lists it as uncharacterized. Lineage: Eukaryota; Metazoa; Chordata; Aves; Galliformes; Phasianidae. The record is from RefSeq and is a predicted model, not a curated record. The transcript is spliced from 2 exons.